This 459-nucleotide ribosomal RNA is filed under the name uncultured bacterium. RNAcentral describes it as "partial 16S ribosomal RNA". It matches the Rfam family "Bacterial small subunit ribosomal RNA", at positions 338 to 795 of the family's 1533-position model. The record is from RNAcentral.
CCUACGGGUGGCAGCAGUGAGGAAUAUUGGUCAAUGGGCGCGAGCCUGAACCAGCCAAGUCGCGUGAGGGAAGACGGUCCUAUGGAUUGUAAACCUCUUUUGUCGGGGAGCAAAAGACGCCACGCGUGGCGUUCCGAGAAUACCCGAAGAAAAAGCAUCGGCUAACUCCGUGCCAGCAGCCGCGGUAAUACGGAGGAUGCGAGCGUUAUCCGGAUGUAUGGGGUUUACAGGGUGCGCAGGCGGAAGAUCAAGUCAGCGGUAAAAGUGAGAGGCUCAACCUCUUCGAGCCGUUGAAACUGGUUUUCUUGAGUGAGUGAGAAGUAUGCGGAAUGCGUGGUGUAGCGGUGAAAUGCAUAGAUAUCACGCAGAACUCUGAUGGCGAAGGCAGCAUACCGGCGCUCAACUGACGCUCAUGCACGAAAGUGUGGGUAUCGAACAGGAUUAGAUACCCCUGUAGUC